UGGGGAAUUUUGGACAAUGGGCGAAAGCCUGAUCCAGCAAUGCCGCGUGUGUGAAGAAGGCCUUCGGGUUGUAAAGCACUUUUGUCCGGAAAGAAAUCCUUGGCUCUAAUACAGUCGGGGGAUGACGGUACCGGAAGAAUAAGCACCGGCUAACUACGUGCCAGCAGCCGCGGUAAUACGUAGGGUGCAAGCGUUAAUCGGAAUUACUGGGCGUAAAGCGUGCGCAGGCGGUUUGCUAAGACCGAUGUGAAAUCCCCGGGCUCAACCUGGGAACUGCAUUGGUGACUGGCAGGCUAGAGUAUGGCAGAGGGGGGUAGAAUUCCACGUGUAGCAGUGAAAUGCGUAGAGAUGUGGAGGAAUACCGAUGGCGAAGGCAGCCCCCUGGGCCAAUACUGACGCUCAUGCACGAAAGCGUGGGGAGCAAAACAGGAUUAGAUACCCCUGGUAGUCCACGCCCUAAAACGAUGUCAACUAGUUGUUGGGGAUUCAUUUCCUUAGUAACGUAGCUAACGCGUGAAGUUGACCGCCUGGGGAGUACGGUCGCAAGAUUAAAACUUAAAGGAAUUGACGGGGUCAUAGCUGUUUCCU
This 588-nucleotide ribosomal RNA is filed under the name uncultured bacterium. RNAcentral describes it as "partial 16S ribosomal RNA". It matches the Rfam family "Bacterial small subunit ribosomal RNA", at positions 355 to 1375 of the family's 1533-position model. The record is from RNAcentral.